CCCUUAGAUGUUCUGGGCCGCACGCGUGCUACACUGAGUAAAUCAAUGGGUAAGGGAACACGAAAGUGCAACCUAAUCUUGAGAUUUGCUCGUGAUGGGGAUCGACGGUUGCAAUUUUCCGUCGUGAACGAGGAAUACCUUGUAGGCGCGUGUCAUCAUCACGCGCCGAAUACGUCCCUGCCCUUUGUACACACCGCCCGUCGCUCCUACCGAUUGAGUGAUCCGGUGAGGCUCUGGGACCUGGACGGAAAGAGCGUUUCGCUUGUUCUGUUUGGGAAACUUGGUCGAACCUUAUCAUUUAGAGGAAGGAGAAGUCGUAACA
Molecule: ribosomal RNA, 322 nt
Filed under: uncultured eukaryote
Lineage: Eukaryota
Description: partial 18S ribosomal RNA
Rfam family: Eukaryotic small subunit ribosomal RNA
Source: RNAcentral